GGUUGUGACCAUACCAGCACCAGUGCAUCAGAUCCCAUCAGAACACUGCAUUUAAGCGUGCUUGGGCGAGAGUAGUACUGGGAUGGGUGACCUCCUGGGAAGUCCUUGUGUUGCACCCC
Molecule: ribosomal RNA, 119 nt
Organism: Dendrobium catenatum
Lineage: Eukaryota; Viridiplantae; Streptophyta; Magnoliopsida; Asparagales; Orchidaceae
Source: RefSeq, a predicted model, not a curated record